Molecule: ribosomal RNA, 469 nt
Filed under: uncultured bacterium
Lineage: Bacteria
Description: partial 16S ribosomal RNA
Rfam family: Bacterial small subunit ribosomal RNA
Source: RNAcentral
GACGAACGCUGGCGGCGUGCUUAACACAUGCAAGUCGAACGGAAAGGCCCUGCUUUUGUGGGGUGCUCGAGUGGCGAACGGGUGAGUAACACGUGAGUAACCUGCCCUUGACUUUGGGAUAACUUCAGGAAACUGGGGCUAAUACCGGAUAGGAGCUCCUGCUGCAUGGUGGGGGUUGGAAAGUUUCGGCGGUUGGGGAUGGACUCGCGGCUUAGCAGCUUGUUGGUGGGGUAGUGGCUUACCAAGGCUUUGACGGGUAGCCGGCCUGGGAGGGUGAGCGGCCACAGUGGGACUGAGACACGGCCCCGACUCCGACGGGAGGCAGCAGCAGGGGAGAGGGCACAAGGGGUGGGAGCCUGAUGCUGCAACGCCGUGGGCGGGAGGACGGUCUUCGGGUUGGAAUCCGAUUUCGCUCAUGACCAAGCUGUUUGUGACGGUAGUGGGUAAAGAAGCACCGGCUAACUACGUG